Molecule: transfer RNA, 79 nt
Filed under: Sphaerodactylus townsendi
Lineage: Eukaryota; Metazoa; Chordata; Lepidosauria; Squamata; Sphaerodactylidae
Description: tRNA-Val
Source: RNAcentral
GCUGUGGCUCAGUGGGGUACAGCAUCUGCUUUACAUGCAGAAGGUCCCAGGUUCAAUCCAUCUAAAGAAUCCAGCAACA